This 350-nucleotide ribosomal RNA is filed under the name uncultured bacterium. RNAcentral's name for it is "bacterial SSU rRNA". It matches the Rfam family "Bacterial small subunit ribosomal RNA", at positions 355 to 697 of the family's 1533-position model. The record is from RNAcentral.
UGGGGAAUAUUGCACAAUGGGCGCAAGCCUGAUGCAGCCAUGCCGCGUGUAUGAAGAAGGCCUUCGGGUUGUAAAGUACUUUCAGCAGUGAGGAAGGGGUGUACGUUAAUAGCGUGCAUCUUUGACGUUAGCUGCAGAAGAAGCACCGGCUAACUCCGUGCCAGCAGCCGCGGUAAUACGGAGGGUGCGAGCGUUAAUCGGAAUUACUGGGCGUAAAGCGCAUGCAGGUGGUUUGUUAAGUCAGAUGUGAAAGCCCGGGGCUCAACCUCGGAAUUGCAUUUGAAACUGGCAGACUAGAGUACUGUAGAGGGGGGUAGAAUUUCAGGUGUAGCGGUGAAAUGCGUAGAGAU